UACGUAGGGGGCAAGCGUUGUCCGGAAUCAUUGGGCGUAAAGCGUGCGCAGGCGGUUUUGUAAGUCUGUCGUGAAAUCCCCGGGCUCAACCUGGGAAUUGCGAUGGAGACUGCAAGGCUAGAAUCUGGCAGAGGGGGGUAGAAUUCCACGUGUAGCAGUGAAAUGCGUAGAGAUGUGGAGGAACACCGAUGGCGAAGGCAGCCCCCUGGGUCAAGAUUGACGCUCAUGCACGAAAGCGUGGGGAGCAAACAGG
Molecule: ribosomal RNA, 253 nt
Filed under: uncultured bacterium
Lineage: Bacteria
Description: partial 16S ribosomal RNA
Rfam family: Bacterial small subunit ribosomal RNA
Source: RNAcentral